RNAcentral lists this ribosomal RNA (109 nucleotides) under Caerostris darwini. Lineage: Eukaryota; Metazoa; Arthropoda; Arachnida; Araneae; Araneidae. The record is from RNAcentral.
AACGGCCGUACCAUGCUGAAUAUAUCGGUUCUCGUUAGAUCACCGAAGUCAAGCAUUGGGCGCGGUCAAUACUUGGGUGGGUGACCACCUGGGAACACCGCGUGCCGUU